AUCACUUCUUGGCCUUUUGGCUAAGAUCAAGUGUAAAGUAUCUUGUUAUUCUUAUAUAUGAAUGCACAUGUAAGGUGUCAUAUUUUACACAUACAUCUUUUAUCUUUAAAAUGGUGAGCAAACAUU
Molecule: small nuclear RNA, 126 nt
Filed under: Fukomys damarensis (Damara mole-rat)
Lineage: Eukaryota; Metazoa; Chordata; Mammalia; Rodentia; Bathyergidae
Description: U2 spliceosomal RNA
Rfam family: U2 spliceosomal RNA
About the family: U2 is a small nuclear RNA (snRNA) component of the spliceosome (involved in pre-mRNA splicing). Complementary binding between U2 snRNA (in an area lying towards the 5' end but 3' to hairpin I) and the branchpoint sequence (BPS) of the intron results the bulging out of an unpaired adenosine, on the BPS, which initiates a nucleophilic attack at the intronic 5' splice site, thus starting the first of two transesterification reactions that mediate splicing.
Source: Rfam by way of RNAcentral